CAUAGCUGGCCAGCAGGGGGCGAUGUGUGCUUUCUGGACACUACAUGACUGAAUACGUCUGUCACCCAGACAUGAAGGUGAGGAGUAUGAUGCAUGUCAUCCCGCCUCUGACCUCUGACCUCUGCACAUUCUCUCCAUACAGUGAGGUCACAUGACCCCCAGCCUGCUUUUUAUCCACCGCUACAUGAAAUGAGAGCAGUUAGAAUGGAUGGAUGAUUUUAUCAACCUAUAAUUUAAAACCGGCUUCUAAACAAAGGAAGAGAUCUUGAGUUGUCCCUCUCAUCCUUAAGUGUCAGCCGGGCAGUUUCAAGUGUGGGCAGAAGAACAAGAAGAACUGAAAGGAUCCCAGCAAGUGAAAGUCAGCGGACCACUCGGCAUCAUUUCAGACGUUCAGCAUCGUAAUGUGUGGACAUACUCAGGUCAGAUCAGCGCUUCCAGCAGGGUAAGUGCUCUGCGGCACCUUUUAGCAGUCACGUGAUUUACAAGAACAGCUCUGGAAACCUACCCCGCCCCGUGCUGCUGGUCCACUGCUCAUCCAGACUUUACCCUGCAAGGACCCAAAGCCGGAGCGAUGCGCGCUGUGACAUCUGCGGCGCUCCUCGGCGUCCUGCUGGGCGUCUGUCUGCCGGCGGCCGCUGACGAAAUCACAGCUGAGACUGGACAGACUGUCACUCUGUCCUGUAGAGCUACACAGAGGACCAACAUCAUAGUUGUACAGUGGAGCAGAGCCGACCUGGAGACAGAAGGAUACGUCCUGCUGAAUCGAAAUAAUCGACCUGACUCAGCACAGCAGCUUCCAUCUUUUAGGGGUCGGGUGGAGCUGAAGGAGGGAUGGAAGGAGGAUGGAGACGUGUCUCUGAUCCUGAAGAAUGUGACGACUGCUGACAGCGGGAGAUAUGAGUGCAGAGUCGUCCAGGAAGGAACAACCCGCAGGAAGAGAGGCGUUCUUUUAGAGAAUGAACCCAUCAAGACUGUCAGUCUGUCUGUAGUUCAAGGUCACACAGAAGCACACAGCGGGGGAGAGGAGGAGGACAGGAGCAGUGGAGGACAUGUUGGACUGAUUGUUGGAGCCAUCGCUUCUGUUGGUCUGAUCCUUGCUGUUGGUCUGGUGAUCUUUAAAAGAUGCCAGAUGAAGAGCAGCCUUCACUCCUCCCCUGAAUCCUCCUCCCCCGAAUCCUUCUGAUGAAGCAGCUGGACAGCCUCUUGUCUGCAGUGAACAGGGGUGCAGCAAGCUUUAGAAAAGUGUGCAUUAGCUACAGAUAUCUACAGAUAUCUACACCUUCCAACAUCAACACUGCAAGCCAUUUAUGCCACUCACUCAUAUUCUUAAAAUUCACCUACAUUCUGUUCAGUACACCAUGUAUUGAUAAGUUGAAGAAAUAUAUUCAGAUAUAAUCAGAAUUCCUUUAUUUAGUAUGCCAUUUAAAUAUAUAAUAAAUAUCUAAAUACCUAGACAGCAUUUAAAUCCCUGAGUUGUAUCCAAACAACAUAUUUUACAGUAAAGAGCAGGACAUGAAUGCUCCAGUAUGAAUGUACAGUGUCUGAGAACUGUCACAGUUCAGAGUUCAGUAGUUUGAUGGAGACAGGAAUGACUUCCUGUGUCUCUCAGUGGUGCAUCAUGGGAGUCGGAGUCUGUUGCUGAACGAGCUCCUGUAGCUGGUCAGCACAGUGUGGAGCGGGUCAGAGGGACAGUCCAGUAUGGUCUUUACUUUGGACCACGUCCUCCUCUGACACACCUCUGUCACAGAGUCCAGGUCCUUAAACCGCUAACUGGCGGGUGCGCUGUGAUUGGCUGUAAGGUCUGUCACUCAAGCUACCUUGACCAAUGUGCGUUGCCUCCUGUAUGUGUGCACAAUCAGAGACAGGGAGUCUUCUCCACCGCUCUGUGGGGUCGUUCAUUCCCUUUCUCAGACGUCUUUCUGUGCACAUGGGCUGUUUAAAUAUGUUACAUCUCCAAAAACUGUGGGGGAUGAAAUGUGAUUUUAGAAAAGGUGUAGGUGUCACAUUCCCCACAUCUCCCACGGCUGCGACGCCCAUGGAAGUGAAGUACAGUAUAUACUCAAAGUUACAUGUCAGCUGCUGCUUGAUGCUCUGAGUUCCUGCUCUGCACAGAGGAUAUUUGCAGUGACCCAGUAGGUUCUGCUUGUCGGCACGUUAGCUUUGCCUGAAGGGUCCCACAGAAGGUGUAGUAGUGUCUUUGGGUCGUUAACCCUCGGGGCUUGUUUGGGCCUGAACGUGUACAUUUAGGGUUUUUUUUGUUUUCGUUUCUUAAAAUAUCGUCAGUUCAAAGGCUAAAUGUGUGAAACUUGGUCAAGAUGUUUUUUUGUAAUUUUCUUUAAUUUUUAAUUUUUCAAUUUAUGUUAUACUGUCCUGUUUCCACCUCAUAGACCUGAACGUAUGCCAUAAAUAAUAAUUAUAAUAAUAAUUAUAAUAAUAAUAAUAAUAAGGCCUAGAUCUCUUAUCUUGCAGAAUGCAAGAAUAUAAAAUAGCUGAACACCACAAAAAUGGUCUCAGUGUGUUGUGAAGAGUGUAAAAGAGAGGUUAGAAAGUGGCUGAAUAUACUGUGUGAGAGAAAGAGAAAUGAAUCUGUUAAUAAAUGAGUGUGUGUGAAAAUUCAUCCAAUAUUCCAGUAUGGACUCUGUGUACAAACGAGUGACGUUGGUGGUUAGAAAAUAUAUUUCUCAUGCAGGUCUCUCUCUCUCUCUGUGUGUUUUAAACAAUGGAUGCAGUGAUAAAACAUACCUGUGUGUAACAUUUUUAUCACACUUUUAUGAAAGGGAGGGACCUGUUUGGAGCCUAAGGGUAAAAAGUUUUCAUUUUUAAAAAUAAUCUCUUAUUACUUCAAUAAUAAUAAUGCAUCAAAAUCUAUUAUUGUUAUCAAUUAUCAAGGCUGUAAUGGCCUUAUACCAAGUAACCCUCUUGGCACCUCAAUUUUUUUAAAUAUUGCAUAUUUUGUGUUUUUCCAAUCGUAGGUUAUGAAAUACAUAAAGCAUAUAAACAUAAAAUAUUAGAAAUAAUUAAAAAAAACUUUUUAUGAAGUGUACACGCUUGGGUCCCGACAACGUUUGUGUUAAUGUUCCAGCCUCCUGCAGGAGGACCAUGCUAGUUAUGUGGGGACAGCCUGCUACAAACAGAAGAUGAGGGGUUGAAGAAGCCAUGUGAGUUCUGUUAAUACAAGUUUUGUAGAGAAGGACUGGUGACCUGACUUUUCCAGUGCAUGGUGUCUGCAGAGUAACAUACAGCUAGCAGCUAGCAGCUAGCAGCGCCCUUGGGCCAGUGGUCUGUGCGUAGGUGUAUAUGUGUAUAUGUAUACAUGUUGUUAAUCUGCUGUAUUUAAGUUUCUACUACGCUACAUUGUUCUGUUAGUUUGUGUUUUGACUAUAGUAAUUGCCAUGUGAGAAUGCGGAC
Parambassis ranga (Indian glassy fish) is the source of this 3408-nucleotide long non-coding RNA. The record is from Ensembl. Lineage: Eukaryota; Metazoa; Chordata; Actinopteri; Ambassidae.